RNAcentral lists this ribosomal RNA (346 nucleotides) under Trichoderma reesei. RNAcentral describes it as "SSU rRNA". It matches the Rfam family "Eukaryotic small subunit ribosomal RNA", at positions 20 to 370 of the family's 1831-position model. Lineage: Eukaryota; Fungi; Ascomycota; Sordariomycetes; Hypocreales; Hypocreaceae. The record is from RNAcentral.
GUAGUCAUAUGCUUGUCUCAAAGAUUAAGCCAUGCAUGUCUAAGUAUAAGCAAUUAUACCGCGAAACUGCGAAUGGCUCAUUAUAUAAGUUAUCGUUUAUUUGAUAAUACUUUACUACUUGGAUAACCGUGGUAAUUCUAGAGCUAAUACAUGCUGAAAAUCCCGACUUCGGAAGGGAUGUAUUUAUUAGAUUAAAAACCAAUGCCCCUCGGGGCUCUCUGGUGAAUCAUGAUAACUAGUCGAAUCGACAGGCCUUGUGCCGGCGAUGGCUCAUUCAAAUUUCUUCCCUAUCAACUUUCGAUGUUUGGGUAUUGGCCAAACAUGGUGGCAACGGGUAACGGGGAAU